UACGUAGGGGGCUAGCGUUGUCCGGAAUCAUUGGGCGUAAAGAGCGCGUAGGCGGCCAGAUAAGUCCGGUGUGAAAGUCAAAGGCUCAACCUUUGAAUGCCGCUGGAAACUGUCUGGCUAGAGUCCGGGAGGGGCGAGUGGAAUUCCUGGUGUAGCGGUGAAAUGCGCAGAUAUCAGGAGGAACACCGAUGGCGAAGGCAGCUCGCUGGAACGGAACUGACGCUGAGGCGCGAAAGUGUGGGGAGCGAACAGG
This 253-nucleotide ribosomal RNA is filed under the name uncultured bacterium. Its description in RNAcentral is "partial 16S ribosomal RNA". It matches the Rfam family "Bacterial small subunit ribosomal RNA", at positions 524 to 776 of the family's 1533-position model. The record is from RNAcentral.